RNAcentral lists this ribosomal RNA (376 nucleotides) under uncultured Gammaproteobacteria bacterium. Its description in RNAcentral is "bacterial SSU rRNA". It matches the Rfam family "Bacterial small subunit ribosomal RNA", at positions 521 to 896 of the family's 1533-position model. The record is from RNAcentral. Lineage: Bacteria; Pseudomonadati; Pseudomonadota; Gammaproteobacteria.
UAAUACGGAGGGUGCGAGCGUUAAUCGGAAUUACUGGGCGUAAAGCACGCGUAGGCGGUUGUUUAAGUCGGAUGUGAAAGCCCUGGGCUCAACCUGGGAACUGCAUUCGAUACUGGACAACUAGAGUAUAAGAGAGGGAGGUAGAAUUCCAUGUGUAGCGGUGAAAUGCGUAGAUAUGUGGAGGAAUACCAGUGGCGAAGGCGGCCUCCUGGCUUAAUACUGACGCUCAGGUGCGAAAGCGUGGGGAGCAAACAGGAUUAGAUACCCUGGUAGUCCACGCCGUAAACGAUGUCUACUAGCCGUUGGGAGACUUGAUUUCUUAGUGGCGCAGCUAACGCAAUAAGUAGACCGCCUGGGGAGUACGGCCGCAAGGUUA